GGCCUAUAUGAUUCCACAGGAAGACCCGAAAAAAAAUCUUCUCCGCUCUGUAUCGGAUUUCGAAUUCCGCCCCGUUAUCCGAAAUUCCGUUUUCAUAUAAUCGUCUUUCACUCUUUCUCCUCUAGCUCCGGCGAAACCGUUAAUUUAUAUCCCAAAUAAAUAUAACCUACCGCUGACAAUGGAAGAUCUCUAUCCAGAUCACAAACUAUGUGGUUUUCUCUCCGCAGUUGUUGCUCUUCCCUCACUCGAUCCUGCCUUAUCCUUUCUCUCUCCUUGCCAUGUGUUCGCCAACGGUGCCGAAAUUGGAUUCAAGGUCCAAAAUGGCGUUGUUCUCUUCCCAGUUACCUCCAGCAAGAUAGAUUGUGGUUCGCCCUUCCAGAGAAACGGCGAUGUUUUCUCGAGCAGUUCGAGUUCGGGGAAGAGAAGGUACAAGAGGGGAAUUGGAAUGGUGAAUGGGAGCUUGAGCGUGGUGCACCAGAUUCAGGCGUUGGUGGCAAGUAAGUGUAUCAAGAUUGUUGCGCGUGUUUUGAAGGUUGAGGUUUGCGAGAGUGGGGAAGGUGAGGCGAGGGCUGUGGUGCUUGUGGAUGUGUAUUUGCCUGUUGAGUUGUGGACUGGUUGGCAGUUUCCGAAAUCUGGGUCAGUUGCUGGAGCUCUGUUCAGGCACUUGAGUUGUGAUUGGGGGAAGAGAAGCUCAAUGCUUGCUGAUGAAAGUGGGUUUUUUAAGAAUGUGAACGGAGGUGACUCAAGUGUCCAGAAUCUUUCUGAUUGUCAUGUUCUUGGAUGUCAGUUGCAUUGUAGUGUCCCUGAUUCUUCAAAGAAAAGGCGUUUUGAACUUCAUGAAAUUUUCAAGGGCUUGCCUAGUGUGGCAAAUAAAGAAAAGUAUUAUUCUUCGAGAGUAAAACCAGCAGAUGACACUUCUGGGUCUGGUAUUUGGGAUCUAAAUGAUGAUAUUUUGACAAAUAUAUUAACUGUUCUUGGCCCUAUGGACCUUGUCAGGGUUGCAGCAACCUGUCACCAUUUGAGAUCUUUAGCUGCGUCAAUAAUGCCAUGCAUGAAACUUAAACUAUUUCCUCACCAGGAGGCAGCAGUUGAGUGGAUGUUGCAGCGUGAACAGAAUGCUCAAGUUUUGCCGCAUCCUCUAUACAUGAAUUUUUCAACUGAAGAUGGGUUCACAUUCUACGUAAAUACUGUAUCUGGUGAAUUAGUUACUGAAGUAGCUCCUAAAGUUAGAGAUUUUCAUGGGGGAAUGUUCUGUGAUGAACCUGGUUUGGGAAAGACUAUAACUGCCCUUUCCCUUAUACUGAAGACACAAGGAAAAAUUGCUGACCCGCCAGAUGGAGUUCAAAUAACCUGGUGUUCACAUAAUGGUGACCAGAUAUGCGGAUAUUAUGAGCUUAGCAGUGACAACUCCACCUGUAAUAGUGCACUUUUGGGGAAAAGAGCUAUGACCCAGAGCCUUCGUAGGACACUAUUAUCUUUGGACAAAAUGACUCCAAUGUAUGAUCUCAUCUUUUCUACACCUAAAAGAACAAAGUUAAUGGAUCCAAGUGAGCAAGUUGUGCAGUGUAAUGAGUCUUUUCCAGAUAAAGGAACGAAAUCGCUGUCAGCUCCAUGCUCAGAGCCAGCUGCACAUGUGUUUCGAUGCUCAAGGAGUUUGAGUCGUAUCAAGAAAAAUCUUCUCCAUGCAUAUGAAGAAGAAUCUGUAUUUGGCAGCAAAAGGAAUGCUGGAGGAAAAUCAACAAGGAGGCAAUGUGAUUUUAAUGUCCCUAAGUACACUUCUUGGGAUCAGCAUCUGGACAUGUCAUGUGGAAAGGCUACUGCAGAUUGUUUAGUUUAUAAUGAAACUUGGGUUCAGUGCGAUGCCUGUAGAAAGUGGAGGAAGCUUACAGAUGCUAUACCUAAUGCUACUGCUGCAUGGUUUUGUAGUAUGAACACUGACCCUGCUCAUCGGAGUUGCAAAGAUCCAGAAGAAGCUUGGGAUGGUUGUGAAUCUAUAACAUAUCUUCCAGGAUUUUACCCCAAAGGAACAUCUGGAGGAAAGGAGCAAAAUGUGUCAUUUUUCAUCAGUGUGCUUAAGGAUCAUUGUUCAGUGAUAAAUUCUAAAACAAAGAAAGCCUUAACUUGGCUGGCAAAACUUUCUCCAGAAAGACUUUCUCAAAUGGAAACAAUUGGUUUGAUAAGUCCAAUCUUAGACACUUGUUCUUUAUCUGGUACUGGAAAUGUGCAAGCAUAUCAUAAAAUAUUUCAAUCAUUUGGUCUUAUAAAAAGAGUAGAAAAGGGUGUUAGUAGGUGGUAUUACCCACCGACUCUUGAAAACUUGGCAUUUGAUGUGGAUGCUCUUAAAAUUGCUCUCUGCAAUCCAUUGAAUUCCAUCAGGUUAUAUUUGUCAAGAGCAACUUUAAUUGUGGUUCCAGCAAAUCUGGUUGAUCAUUGGAAAACCCAAAUCCAAAAGCAUGUCAAACCUGAGCAGUUGAGGGUUUGCAUCUGGACUGAUCAUAAAAAGCCUUCUGCUCACAGUCUGGCAUGGGAUUAUGAUGUUGUUAUAACUACCUUUAAUCGUUUGAGUGCAGAGUGGGGUUCCAGUAAAAAAAGUCCUCUUAUGCAAGUCCAUUGGCUUAGGGUCAUGCUAGAUGAGGGUCACACUCUUGGUUCUAGUCUUAACUUGACAAACAAAUUGCAAAUGGCUAUUUCAUUGAUGGCUACAAAUCGAUGGUUGCUAACGGGGACCCCAACACCUAAUAUGCCCAAUAGUCAGCUGUCACAUCUUCAGCCAAUGCUUAAGUUCCUACAUGAGGAAGUGUAUGGGCAGAAUCAGAAGUCCUGGGAAGCUGGCAUUCUUAGGCCAUUUGAAGCAGAGAUGGAAGAAGGUCACUCACGUUUGUUGCAAUUGCUGCAUAGGUGCUUGAUUAGUGCUAGAAAGAAAGAUUUGAAAACCAUUCCUCCAUGCAUCAAGAAGGCGACAUUUCUUAAUUUCACUGAGGAGCAUGCAAGAAGUUAUAAUGAAUUGGUAGUUACUGUACAGCGGAAUAUACUAAUGGCUGACUGGAAUGAUCCUUCUCAUGUUGAAAGUUUGCUUAACCAAAAGCAAUGGAAGUUUCGAAGCGCUACAAUUAGAAAUGUCAGGCUAUCUUGCUGUGUGGCAGGGCAUAUUAAAGUGACAGAUGCAGGUGAAGAUAUUCAGGAAACAAUGGACAUUUUAGUUGAAAAGGGCCUGGAUCCCAUUUCAGAGGAGUAUGCUUUAAUAAAGUAUUAUCUACAAUAUGGUGGCAACUGCCUAAGAUGUGAGGAAUGGUGCCGACUUCCUGUUGUCACACCAUGUAGGCAUCUUUUGUGCCUUGACUGUGUUGGUCUGGAUAGUGAAAAGUGUACAUUUCCUGGCUGUGGUAACUUAUAUGAGAUGCAGACUCCUGAAAUAUUAACACGGCCAGAAAAUCCCAACCCAAAGUGGCCUGUCCCCAAAGAUCUUAUAGAGUUACAACCUUCAUAUAAACAGGAUGACUGGGAUCCUGAUUGGCAAUCAACAUCUAGCAGUAAAGUUUCUUAUCUUGUACAGAGGCUGAAAGCAUUGCAGGAAGCUAAUAUGGAGAGUGAUCGCUCUAUUGACAAGGAAAGAGGUGCCUGGAACAUUGAGCAACCUUGCCCCUCUCUGAUGUGUGAUUCAAGUGCACUGUUGCAGGACUGCUCUAGACAGUGUUCUGAGUCUUACAAGGCAGCUACGAAAAAAGUUCUUAUAUUUUCUCAGUUUCUUGAACAUAUACAUGUGAUUGAACAGCAGUUAACAUUUGCUGGAAUCAAAUUUGCUGGGCAUUAUAGUCCAAUGCACUCGAGCAACAAGAUGAAGUCACUAUCCACGUUCCAGCAUGAUGCAACAUGUAUGGCUCUUUUAUUGGAUGGAAGUGCUGCCUUGGGUCUUGACUUGAGCUUUGUAACACAUGUAUUCUUAAUGGAGCCAAUCUGGGACAGAAGCAUGGAGGAACAAGUGAUUAGUCGUGCUCAUAGAAUGGGUGCUACUCGUCCCAUUCACGUGGAAACUUUAGCAAUGCGUGGUACAAUCGAAGAGCAAAUGUUGGAAUUCCUAAAGGAUGCUGAUGAAUGUAGGAAAUUAUUGAAAGAAGAGUUUGGAAAACCUGACCAUCAGGGGGCAAGACCUCAUCGUUCACUACAUGAUUUUGCUGAGCGCAACUAUUUGGCCCAGCUUAGCUUUGUUCAUACUAAUCCUAGAACAUAAAAGUUAUUGUGAUGCUGAUCUACAUCAAGUGGGAUAUGAGGAUCAUACCAAAUUCAGUUUAGUUUUUUGAUGAAAAUUAUAGGUUGAUUAUUAGGUAAAUUACAAUGAAAUCUCUGAGGUUUAGCAAAACUCACAAAUUAAACCUCUGGUGCAAGUUUGAUAACGAUUUGGUCCUUAAAUUUUAUUUCCGUUAACAAUUUAGUCCCCACAUUUUACUUCUGUUAACAAAUUGAUCCCUAUGACAUGAAUUUUAAGCACCAAUUUGUUAAUAAAAAUAAAAUGCGAGGACCAAAGUGUUAACGGAAAUAAAUUUGAGGACCAAAUCAUUACUAAACUUACACCAAGGAUUAAUAUGUGAUUUUUGUUAAAUCUCAAGGACUUAAUUGUAAGUUACCCUUGAUUAUUUUGGAAUUAGCUGAUUCCUAAUGUGUAACGAUCAGAUCUUUAAUAUUACCACUGAAAUUUUCAUGGAAGACCUUUUAUAUUUGAUGCUCUUGCUCUAUUAGCAGAGCCCGUUCAAAGUUGAUCUUGUUUGUUGGGUCACUCAAGAGAGCUGUUUAUCCAACUGAUUUGGGUGAGGACACUUGGAGAUGUCUUUGAAGUUGUAGUGGCCAUGCCCAUCUGUGUAUAGUAAAGGAAAUUGACUUGAAUCCAUACAAGGCGACUGAUUUGUAUCAAAACUAACUCAUUUUUUAUUUACGGAGGAGAGAUCUAUGAUCAUUAAUCAUUUAUCUUUAUUUUUGAAGCGAAUACAAUUAACUCCAGCCUAAAGUGUAUGUAUGAUUUGUAAACUUCUAUUAUCAUUUAUAUCUUAGGGCUACCAAAUU
Molecule: unclassified non-coding RNA, 5055 nt
Filed under: Hevea brasiliensis (rubber tree)
Lineage: Eukaryota; Viridiplantae; Streptophyta; Magnoliopsida; Malpighiales; Euphorbiaceae
Source: RNAcentral